GACGAACGCUGGCGGCGUGCUUAACACAUGCAAGUCGAACGAUGACGACCGAGCUUGCUCGGUCUGAUUAGUGGCGAACGGGUGAGUAACACGUGAGCAACCUGCCCUUCACUCUGGGAUAACCUCGGGAAAUCGGGGCUAAUACCGGAUAUGAGCUCCUGUCGCAUGGCGGGUGUUGGAAAGUUUUUCGGUGAAGGAUGGGCUCGCGGCCUAUCAGUUUGUUGGUGAGGUAGGGGCUCACCAAGGCGAUGACGGGUAGCCGGCCUGAGAGGGCGACCGGCCACACUGGGACUGAGACACGGCCCAGACUCCUACGGGAGGCAGCAGUGGGGAAUAUUGCACAAUGGGCGAAAGCCUGAUGCAGCGACGCCGCGUGAGGGAUGACGGCCUUCGGGUUGUAAACCUCUUUCAGCAGGGAAGAAGCGAAAGUGACGGUACCUGCAGAAGAAGCGCCGGCUAACUACGUG
RNAcentral lists this ribosomal RNA (467 nucleotides) under uncultured bacterium. Its description in RNAcentral is "partial 16S ribosomal RNA". It matches the Rfam family "Bacterial small subunit ribosomal RNA", at positions 28 to 507 of the family's 1533-position model. The record is from RNAcentral.